RNAcentral lists this ribosomal RNA (670 nucleotides) under uncultured Gammaproteobacteria bacterium. Its description in RNAcentral is "bacterial SSU rRNA". It matches the Rfam family "Bacterial small subunit ribosomal RNA", at positions 67 to 734 of the family's 1533-position model. The record is from RNAcentral. Lineage: Bacteria; Pseudomonadati; Pseudomonadota; Gammaproteobacteria.
CGGUAACAUUUCUAGCUUGCUAGAAGAUGACGAGUGGCGGACGGGUGAGUAAUGCUUGGGAACUUGCCUUUGCGAGGGGGAUAACAGUUGGAAACGACUGCUAAUACCGCAUAAUGUCUUCGGACCAAACGGGGCUUCGGCUCCGGCGCAAAGAGAGGCCCAAGUGAGAUUAGCUAGUUGGUAAGGUAACGGCUUACCAAGGCGACGAUCUCUAGCUGUUCUGAGAGGAAGGUCAGCCACACUGGGACUGAGACACGGCCCAGACUCCUACGGGAGGCAGCAGUGGGGAAUAUUGCACAAUGGGGGAAACCCUGAUGCAGCCAUGCCGCGUGUGUGAAGAAGGCCUUCGGGUUGUAAAGCACUUUCAGUUGUGAGGAAAAGUUAGUAGUUAAUACCUGCUAGCCGUGACGUUAACAACAGAAGAAGCACCGGCUAACUCCGUGCCAGCAGCCGCGGUAAUACGGAGGGUGCGAGCGUUAAUCGGAAUUACUGGGCGUAAAGCGCACGCAGGCGGUUUGUUAAGCUAGAUGUGAAAGCCCCGGGCUCAACCUGGGAUGGUCAUUUAGAACUGGCAGACUAGAGUCUUGGAGAGGGGAGUGGAAUUCCAGGUGUAGCGGUGAAAUGCGUAGAUAUCUGGAGGAACAUCAGUGGCGAAGGCGACUCCCUGGCC